Molecule: unclassified non-coding RNA, 340 nt
Filed under: fungal sp.
Lineage: Eukaryota; Fungi
Description: partial internal transcribed spacer region
Rfam family: Eukaryotic small subunit ribosomal RNA (bases 1-46)
Source: RNAcentral
AAGUCGUAACAAGGUUUCCGUAGGUGAACUUGCGGAAGGAUCAUUAACACGUAUCCAAACGUUAAAACCCCCCCCGUGAACCUUCAUCCUGCUCUUGUAACCCGCGUAGUUCGCAAUCUCUGAUAAAUCAUAGCCCGGAAAGUUGUAGUGAUUCAGAGACCUCUGGCUAAAAUUGUGCAAGGAUAGCGCUUCUACGAUUCCUGUAGACCAUACACUCGGGCAGGAGCUUUGCCAAAGGGUCCCCGUGCCCCCUAAUAACCCCACAGUUUAAUGUGAAGCUCAAUGUAAUACAUUGGGUAAAAAAACCGAACAACUGUUAACAAUGGAUAUCUUGGUUCUC